Acanthosepion pharaonis is the source of this 111-nucleotide non-coding RNA. NCBI's taxonomy places the organism in Eukaryota, Metazoa, Mollusca, Cephalopoda, Sepiida, Sepiidae. The record is from the annotation of a GenBank genome assembly.
AUGAUCACAUCACGUUGAAACACCGCUUUCCGUACGAUCACUGAAGUUAAGCAACGUCGAGCUUGGUCAGUACCUAGAUGGUUGACCACUUGGAAAUAUCAGGUGUUGUAG